Molecule: ribosomal RNA, 466 nt
Filed under: uncultured bacterium
Lineage: Bacteria
Description: partial 16S ribosomal RNA
Rfam family: Bacterial small subunit ribosomal RNA
Source: RNAcentral
GACGAACGCUGGCGGCGUGCUUAACACAUGCAAGUCGAACGGAAAGGCCCUGCUUGCAGGGUACUCGAGUGGCGAACGGGUGAGUAACACGUGGGUGAUCUGCCCUGCACUUCGGGAUAAGCUUGGGAAACUGGGUCUAAUACCGGAUAGGAGCCAUCUUUAGUGUGGUGGUUGGAAAGUUUUUUCGGUGUAGGAUGAGCUCGCGGCCUAUCAGCUUGUUGGUGGGGUAAUGGCCUACCAAGGCGGCGACGGGUAGCCGGCCUGAGAGGGUGUACGGCCACAUUGGGACUGAGAUACGGCCCAGACUCCUAUGGGAGGCAGCAGUGGGGAAUAUUGCACAAUGGGCGCAAGCCUGAUGCAGCGACGCCGCGUGGGGGAUGAAGGCCUUCGGGUUGUAAACUCCUUUCGCUAGGGACGAAGCUUUGUUGUGACGGUACCUAGAGAAGAAGCACCGGCUAACUACGUG